This 277-nucleotide ribosomal RNA is filed under the name uncultured prokaryote. Its description in RNAcentral is "partial 16S ribosomal RNA". It matches the Rfam family "Bacterial small subunit ribosomal RNA", at positions 524 to 800 of the family's 1533-position model. The record is from RNAcentral.
UACGGAGGGUGCAAGCGUUAUUCGGAAUUACUGGGCGUAAAGCGCGCGUAGGCGGCUUUGUAAGUCAGGGGUGAAAUCCCACGGCUCAACCGUGGAACUGCCUUUGAAACUGCGAGGCUUGAAUCCUGGAGAGGGUGGCGGAAUUCCUGGUGUAGGAGUGAAAUCCGUAGAUAUCAGGAGGAACACCGGUGGCGAAGGCGGCCACCUGGACAGGUAUUGACGCUGAGGCACGAAAGUGUGGGGAUCAAACAGGAUUAGAUACCCUGGUAGUCCCUGA